UACGUAGGGGGCAAGCGUUGUCCGGAAUUAUUGGGCGUAAAGAGCGUGUAGGCGGUCCGGUAAGUCAGCUGUGAAAGUCAAGGGCUCAACCCUUGAAAGCCGGUUGAUACCGUCGGGCUAGAGUCCGGAAGAGGCGAGUGGAAUUCCCGGUGUAGCGGUGAAAUGCGCAGAUAUCAGGAAGAACACCCGUGGCGAAGGCGGCUCUCUGGGACGGUACUGACGCUGAGACGCGAAAGCGUGGGGAGCGAACAGG
RNAcentral lists this ribosomal RNA (253 nucleotides) under uncultured bacterium. Its description in RNAcentral is "partial 16S ribosomal RNA". It matches the Rfam family "Bacterial small subunit ribosomal RNA", at positions 524 to 776 of the family's 1533-position model. The record is from RNAcentral.